CCCUUAGACGUUCUGGGCCGCACGCGCGCUACACUGACACAGGCAACGAGCUUUCCUUUACCGAAAGGUAUGGGUAAUCUUUUGAAACUGUGUCGUGCUGGGGAUAGAUCCUUGCAAUUUUUGAUCUUAAACGAGGAAUUCCUAGUAAGCGCGAGUCAUCAACUCGCGUUGAUUACGUCCCUGCCCUUGUACACACCGCCCGUCGCUACUACCGAUUGAAUGGCUUAGUGAGGCCUCAGGAUCCGCGCUUAAUGUGUGGAGAAUUUGGACAAACUACGUCAUUUAGAGGAAGUAAAAGUCGUAACA
Molecule: ribosomal RNA, 306 nt
Filed under: uncultured eukaryote
Lineage: Eukaryota
Description: partial 18S ribosomal RNA
Rfam family: Eukaryotic small subunit ribosomal RNA
Source: RNAcentral